This 420-nucleotide ribosomal RNA is filed under the name uncultured eukaryote. Its description in RNAcentral is "SSU rRNA". It matches the Rfam family "Eukaryotic small subunit ribosomal RNA", at positions 592 to 1017 of the family's 1831-position model. The record is from RNAcentral.
CAAUAGCGUAUAUUAAAGUUGUUGCAGUUAAAAGCUCGUAGUUGAACCUUGGGCCUGGCUGGCCGGUCCGCCUCACCGCGUGUACUGGUCCGGCCGGGCCUUUCCUUCUGGGGGAACCUCAUGCCCUUCACUGGGCGUGUUGGGGAACCAGGACUUUUACUUUGAAAAAUUAGAGUGUUCAAAGCAGGCCUUUGCUCGAAUACAUUAGCAUGGAAUAAUAGAAUAGGACGUGUGGUUCUAUUUUGUUGGUUUCUAGGACCGCCGUAAUGAUUAAUAGGGAUAGUCGGGGGCAUCAGUAUUCAAUCGUCAGAGGUGAAAUUCUUGGAUUGAUUGAAGACUAACUACUGCGAAAGCAUUUGCCAAGGAUGUUUUCAUUAAUCAGUGAACGAAAGUUAGGGGAUCGAAGACGAUCAGAUACCA